This 4945-nucleotide long non-coding RNA is filed under the name Sus scrofa (pig). Its description in RNAcentral is "lncRNA (ENSSSCG00000061509.1)". The record is from RNAcentral. Lineage: Eukaryota; Metazoa; Chordata; Mammalia; Artiodactyla; Suidae.
CCCUCCUGCCAGCCAGCAGGGCCACGCGCCUGUGGCUGAGCUUUGGUCACAUCUGUCAGCUCAUACCGUAAAACACCGACUUUCUGGAAUCCCCAUGGGCUGACUCAUUGUGGAGAGAGCUGAGGACUUACUCUUUAAAGCACCCAAAACUUUAGAGGGUAAAAAAAUUUCUAUUACCCUUGUAGUGACAUGUGUUAAUGGAUCACAGCUAUGUUGGCUUUCCAAGGGGAGUACAUUGGGUAUAACUCAGCCUGACCUUGACAAUGGAGGACAUCACCAUGAAUAUCCAUUAUUAUCCCAGGUUGUGUACAGUCAUUCUCUUGGGAUAUUUUGAAGUGUGGUAGAAAGGGGUUUCCACUAAACUGAAUAGUUCCAGAUCACUGGACUUUCUUAGUACUUCUCUGUGCUUCUUUUAAUAUUAUUUUUGCCUUCUCCCUUACAAUGAGCAUUAUCUUUGCUUGUCUUUAUUUGUCUCUUAUUCUCUCCAAAUCCCUUUAACUUGCCUUUUCUCUUCUACUAAAGACAGCCAAGCUCUGUAAAAUAGGUUGUAAAAUAAGAACAAAUAACACUUUUAAAGGGUAAAUUUUAUGAUAUGUGAAUUAUAUCUCAGUAGAGCUAUUUUUAAAGUGAAUUGCUGACUAUAAAAUCUUGCAAAAGGUGAGAUAUCAUAUCAUUCUGUUUAUAUUGAUAAUAAACUAUUUCACUCUUUUGUUCAAAAUAUAAAAGCACAAAUAGACUCGGUGAGGACCUAGCAUUUUUUUCCCCAUAAGUGAUAUACCUGAGAGUUAAGGUAUAGUCUCUGAAAUAUCUGUUUUGUUCACCUGACCUUUUGGAUUAGUUCUUAUCCUAUAAGUAAAGUUAAUUUGAAUGAGAUGUAGUAUGACUCUGGAUUUUUUUUAUUAAAGCCUCUUCCCUCUCCCUUUGUUCAUUCAUUUGGCAUUUUUAGUAGCAAGUCCUACUAUGUGUUAGGUCCUAGAAAUAAACAUGAAUCCCUAAGUGACUCAGAUCUUCCUUAGAUGAAUUUCAGGUAUAAAUCUCUAGGAAGUAUGAGUUUUGAUGCUUCUUUGAUUUGCAAUCCCAUAAUAUCUCCAUGAUCCCCAAAUCUAGUCAGUCCCCAGCGAAACAUCACAACUAACUGAGAGGCCAGCCCACUUCUGGAAAGCUGGUCCAUGGAGUGGGUAGCCUUGAUCAGAGGAGAAUGCUGAGAAGUGAGCAAGAGCUACUUUCAGUUGUUGUAUUCUCCAGUAUUUUUCCAUGGAGCACCCAGAACUGUGUUAUUCAAAGUAUUGCUCAGACCAGCAGCAUCAGUAUCACCUGGCAGCUUGUAGGAAAUACAGAAUCUUAUUCUCCACCCAAGACCUAUUAAAUUAGAAUCAGCUUUUUAAAAAGAUCCUCAAGUGAUUCAUAUGCUCAUUAACGUUUGAAGAGCUGUGAGCUAGGAAAUAUUGUACACGAGCAUGCCUGAAACACCUGGCACUUUACCCACCACCAUAACCACAUCUUUCAGAGCCCUGGAUGAACAAUGCCAAACAUAAGAAGCCACCACUUGACACAGAGGCACAUCCCAUUGGCCAGUAGGUAGAGAUGGUCUUGAUGAUGCUGAGCAGAUGUUCAGCAUAUUUGUUGAGCAGGCAGAGACCACUGCUGUUCUCCUCACCAAGCCUGUCAGGUUCAAUAACUCUUUUCCAAUGACUCAUCUCUUCACACACAUGUGUUGUAAUUUUCUUUAAAGACCAGCUUGUCAGCAGCAUUCAAAGCUGGGUGUUUUUCCUUUGUUGCAAAACUUCAUCCGUAUUCCUGGAAACAUCCCCCAGCUCAAAUUCAACUCAAGUCUUCCUGACACCAUCUCAUUCAUCCACUCAUUCACUUGAAAAGUACUUUCUGAGCACUGACUAUGCGCCAGGCACUGCCAGCAUCUGCAUUUUCCAUUCAGUGACCACUAUGUAAACCACUUAGUUUCCACAUCUUACAGAAGACAGGAAAUUUAUUUUUGAAGUAUGAAAUACAACUUCUAUCCUUAAUGAACUAAUGCUAUAAUUGAAAAGGCAAGGUUUAAAAUUUUGAAGUUUAUGGAAAACAAAUUUUUAAGAACUCAAAAAGGUGAUACGUGCUGUACUAGAACCAGGGCUGGAUGGUCCUCAGUCAGAAGAUCUGGGACCAGGUUCUGGUUCCUCCAUUAAUCUACUUCAACCUUUUUGACACGCUAUUUUGCCUUUCUACAAUUUUCUCAACUACUUUAAAAAAACAAGAUAUUAGACUAUCUGAUCUUAAAAAAUAAUUCUUCCUUGUCUCCAGUAUCCAAAUACCCAAGGAUGCAUCCUGAACUACGUAUAUAAACUCUGAUCGACUUCAAGGUAAGAAAGCAUGGAGUCAACAGGCAAUGGUAUUUGUCAUGAUUAAGAGUUCUGGUUUUGAUAGCAGACAAAUCUAUAUGCAAAUCCUUGAUGCGAUAUAAACUUAAUACUCUUGAGGCCUUAGACAAGUCACUCAAUCUCUUUGAUCCUCAUGAUCCUCAGUUUUCUCAUUAGUUACGUGGGGAUGAUAAUAGAACCUCCCCAUAGACUUAUUAUGAGAAUUAAAUGUAAUUCAUGUAAAGCCCUUAGCACAGUGUCCAAUGUAAAUGGUGUGCUGAUAGAUGACAAUGAUGGUGUUGGUGGUGAUGAUAGCAGUAUUCUCAGGGUCUUUUAAAGCACACAGCCUUUCCAAUAAGGAUAAACUUCAAUACUAAAUUGGAAGAAUUGAUAGGAUAUGGAAUAAAUUACAAAGAAACUGACCCGCUGACAGCAGAGAAGAUGAAGGAAAGAAUAAUACAAGUAGGGAAGAUGGGAAUGCAGUAACCAUUUGCAGGUAAGUGAAUGGACAACUUUGUGGACCAGAAUGGAUGGGAAAGGAAAAACUUGGUUUGAUAGAAAGCGUUGGACAUGAUGAAGCAGCACUUGAGUGUGGUGGCUCUGGCAUCUCUGUGCAAAGGGGAGUUGAGAGACUGAAGGAAGGGAGACCAGCCAGGUGUCUACUGGGUCCUCACUUCUGGGCAAAAUGUCACGAGCUGGACAACAGGGCAAAAAGUCAGGGAGAAAAAAGCAAUCCUCUGGAGCUCAACAAGUGUCUCUUCAAAGACCCUCCCCAAGAAAUUCCUCUUGGCCUCCUACACACACAUGUUUAGCAUUUCUUCCCACCCCAAUUAAAGCUGAAAGAAACACAUGACCUUGCCCAUGUGUAUGAAGGAGAAGCUGAGAUCACAUCCUGUCUCUGAGUUCUGAGUCAGAGAAUCCCGGAAGAGCAUAUUGAGAGUUACUAAAUAGACCAUGUCCCUUUCAGCCUGCCUGUAGUCAGAGAUCUGGUUGGAUAAGAAUAGGACCCAAGCCCUCCAGGCAUGGCAGGGCCUCUGCAGCACCAUGUGGUUGCUAUUACUGACUCUAAAUAAAGAGCCAAGCACUUGUAUAGGCUCUGUCCCUCUUCAUCUCCUUCGUGGUCUGCACCCCAGGGCUGUCCAGGAAGAACAGAAUCUGCCCAGUGGAGCCAUCCAAGGCAACUACUGUUCCCCAGAGCCACCAUAGAUGUGGAAUUAGGAAAUAAUUUGGCUUAAUUACAGACCAGAUUAACCAGAACUUUGCUCCUGGGGCUGUCACUGGUUGUCCCUUGGCAUGCUUCACUUGGGCUCAGUGCACUCUUGGGUAUAAGCUCUUCUCUACAGCUCCCUGGAUGGUAAACAUGGCCCUGGCUGUGUAUGAGAAACAAAGAAGCUGUCAUGGGAUAUACAGAGCUGUGCCAGGUGAGGUGGACAUCAGUGGGAGGACUGGUCAGCAUUCCUCCAGCACAUGACCACACUCCCACAAGUCCAUGGCAGGACUCAAGCUUGACUUUCUCUCCCACAGUCCCAGUCAUCUUCUGUCCAAAAAAAACAAAGAUAAAAACAAAAGAUGUGAUGGGAGAUGGAAAUGGAAGUAAGCUUUCAAAGCAGCACGUGUGGCAUGUCCCCCAAGGCCAUAACCAGGUAAAGAAUUGAGGCAGUUAUGCAAGUAACGAACAGAAUGGUUGCGUUGAGACUCUCACAGGAAGAGUCUCCUCAAUUCUUUUCUUUCUUAGCCUUAACUCAUGUAUUCAGUGAGCAAUUACUGAGUACUGACUGUAUCACGGCUUUAGGUAUUUUGAAGGAUUCCACAAAGUCCCUAGUAUUCUCUGCAGUAGGUGUGACAUAGGGAGAAAGAGAAGACAUCCCCAAGACAAUGACAUUUGAGUGGGAUCAUGGGUGAUGAGUAAGGUGCCCCAGCCAGAAGGGGAGUCAGGCCAGGUGGAGAGGACUGCACAGUGAAAGGCCUGAUGGGAGAUAGCUCAUUCCUUUAGUGACAGGAGAGGGGAGAAUCCGCUGCUGCUUAUAGAGCCCAGCAAUCCAAUACUCCUAGUGAGUGGAGCUCAAUCCUUCUAAAUCCUGUCUCAGUCUCCCUUCUCCCCACUAAUGUUCCUGAAGGUAUCUCCCAUAUAGGGAGUAACCAGUUAUCCUGGAAGUGAGGAUCUCUUUGUUGCUAAAUGGCUUUCUCUAUUUGUUCUUUGCUGAUCCCACCCCUCCCUAAGUCACAGCACCAACGCUAACACUAAAUGCACUAAACCUUCAGCACUAACAUCAGCUGAAACUGAGACUUUAUUUUCUAGAUAGAAACGGGCUUGAUGGUACAACUCAGAAAUAUGCAAAAUGGUGUGAUCAGGGCCGGAAGGUCCACAGCCAUGUCCAAUACGCUUCCUCAAGAAGUGUGGUAAGGAGUUCCCGUUGUGGCUCAGUGGGUUAUGAACCUGACUAGUAUCCAUGAGAAUGCAGGUUCAACCCCUGGCCUUGCUCAGUGGUUUAAGAAUCUAGCAUUGCCACAAGCUGGAGCAUAGGUUGCAGAUGGGCUCGAAUCUGGCAUUUCUGUGGCUGGCAGCUACAGCUCCAAUUCGACUCCUAGCCUGG